This 2823-nucleotide ribosomal RNA is filed under the name Triticum aestivum (bread wheat). RNAcentral describes it as "partial small subunit ribosomal RNA". The record is from RNAcentral. Lineage: Eukaryota; Viridiplantae; Streptophyta; Magnoliopsida; Poales; Poaceae.
CCGUACCUUCCCCCACCCCCAGCCACCACCGGUCGUCGCCUCUCCUCUCCCCCCCCGCCGCCCGGAUCAGGAACGAUCGCACCGUGCGGCCGCCUCCCGCCCCGCGCGCGGAUCAUCCUACCAUGCUGAGGCGCUGCGCCCCAUACCGACCCCACAGGGCCGCCGCCGCACCGCGCCUCCCGAUCCCCGGCGGCCACCCCUACCUCGCCGUCCUCUCCUUCCUCUUCAUCCCGACCUAAGCUCCAAGCCUCGCCGACAGGCCGGCCCUCGCCUGGUGUCUCUCUCGGCGCCGAGCUGCCUGCCUGCCUGCCUGGUGGAAUCGUCAGCCGCUCCAAUCGACCCCGCGAUGAGCGAGGAGGAGGCGCAGAGGUACGGCGGCGGGACCGGCGGCGGGGGCGUCGGGGCGCUGUCCGUGGAUCUGCUGGGCCAGGUGCUCGACCGCGUGCUGGAGCGGCGGGACCGCAAGGCUUGCCGCCUCGUCAGCCGCGCCUUCGCGCGCGCCGAGGCCGCGCACCGCCGGGUUCUGCGGGUGCUCCGCCGGGAGCCGCUCCCUCGCCUACUCCGCGCCUUCCCUGCGCUCGAGCGGCUCGAUCUCUCAGCCUGCGCCUCGCUCGACGACGCGUCUCUUGCAGCCGCUUUGGCCGGCGCGGACCUCGGCACCGUCCGACAGGUCUGCCUGGCGCGGGCCAGCGGAGUGGGCUGGCGCGGGCUGGAAGCCCUGGUGGCCGCCUGCCCCAGGCUCGAGGCAGUCGAUCUGUCGCACUGCGUCGGUGCUGGGGAUAGGGAGGCUGCCGCGCUGGCCACGGCUUCCGGGCUGAGGGAGCUGAAUCUGGAAAAGUGCCUGGGCGUCACUGACAUGGGACUCGCCAAGGUAGCCGUGGGGUGCCCCAGACUGGAGAAUCUGAGCUUCAAGUGGUGCCGUGAAAUCUCUGACAUCGGUGUCGAUCUGCUUGUGAAGAAGUGCCGUGAGCUCCGCAGCCUUAACAUCUCAUACCUAAAGGUGAGCAAUGAGUCCCUUAGAUCAAUAUCGACACUUGAGAAGCUUGAGGAGUUGGCCAUGGUUGCUUGCUCAUGUAUAGACGAUGAAGGCCUGGAAUUGCUUAGCAGAGGAAGUAACUCAUUGCAGAGUGUUGAUGUGUCAAGAUGUGAUCAUGUGACUUCCCAGGGGUUAGCUUCACUGAUAGAUGGUCACAGUUUUCUCCAGAAGCUAUAUGCCGCAGAUAGUUUGCAUGAGAUUGGACAGCAUUUUCUAUCCAAGUUAGUAACACUGAAGGCAACCUUGACCGUGUUGAGACUUGACGGCUUUGAAGUGUCAUGCUCUCUUCUUUCAGCGAUUGGUGAAGGUUGUACCAACUUGGUUGAGAUUGGACUAAGCAAAUGCAACGGCGUUACAGAUGAAGGCAUCUCUUCGCUUGUAGCUUGCUGCAGCUACCUAAGGACAAUUGAUCUCACAUGCUGCAAUCUAGUCACAAACAAUUCCCUUGAUUCAAUAGCUGACAACUGUAAGCUGCUUGAAUGCCUCCGGUUGGAGUCCUGCUCUUCAAUAAACGAGAAAGGACUAGAGAGAAUUGCGAGCUGUUGCCCCAAUCUAAAGGAGAUAGAUCUCACUGAUUGUGGAGUGAAUGACGAAGCGUUGCAUCAUUUGGCAAAGUGCUCUGAACUACUGAUAUUGAAAUUAGGCCUGAGCUCAAGUAUUUCGGACAAAGGCCUUGGUUUUAUUAGUUCAAAGUGUGGAAAGCUCAUUGAACUUGACCUCUAUCGCUGCAGUUCUAUCACCGACGAUGGGCUGGCAGCCUUAGCCAACGGCUGCAAGAAAAUUAAGCUGCUGAACCUUUGUUACUGCAACAAGAUAACUGAUAGUGGUUUGAGCCACCUGGGCGCUCUGGAGGAGCUCACAAACCUUGAACUGAGAUGCCUGGUCCGCAUUACAGGCAUCGGAAUUUCUUCUGUUGUCAUUGGCUGUAAGAGCCUGGUAGAACUUGACUUGAAGCGCUGCUAUUCUGUCGAUGAUUCUGGCCUAUGGGCUCUUGCCCGAUAUGCGCUAAACCUUAGACAGCUUACCAUAUCAUACUGCCAAGUUACUGGCCUAGGCUUGUGCCACCUGCUUAGCUCCCUGAGGUGCCUCCAGGACGUGAAGAUGGUGCACCUCUCAUGGGUUUCCAUAGAAGGGUUCGAGAUGGCUCUGAGAGCCGCUUGCGGGAGGCUGAAGAAGCUGAAGAUACUCAGUGGUUUGAAGACCGUGUUAUCCCCUGAUCUGCUCCAGCUGCUGCAAGCCUGCGGCUGCCGCAUCAGAUGGGUCAACAAGCCUCUUGUCUACAAGGAUGCCAUCUGAUCUGAGCUGUACAUAUUGUUCAUCCGUUCCCCAAGUUUGUCAUGGCUGCGUAGCUAUGUUAGAAAAUCCACAAUAACUGCAUGCCUUGUCAAUGCCAUCCCCGAGGUGUGGUCAAAGAUUAUGUUUGUGUUUGAACACCUUCUCGGCGUUCAGUGAUGGUGAGUAAACAUGGCAUCUGCUGUCGAAUACUCCCUCCGUAUAAAAUUAUAAGACAUUUUUCUAGGCUAGUUUAGCCUACAAAAGCAUCUUACAUUUUGGUACAGAGGUAUUAUAUCGUAUGUAUAGUGAAGCUCUUUUGCAUAAUGGAGUUGUGCAAGUGGUGUACAGAGACGUAAAGAAUGUAAAAGAGGGAGCCGAAAGUAGUUUGAUCUUUUAUGUUGUAUAUAUACUGCCUCUCUUGGUUCUAUCAGUCACUUGUUGACAUAUCCCAUGAGGAAAAGAAUAUAAUGCCAAAUGUGAAGCAUAAUCGGUGAAUGCUGAUGUAUCUUUUU